This 253-nucleotide ribosomal RNA is filed under the name uncultured bacterium. Its description in RNAcentral is "partial 16S ribosomal RNA". It matches the Rfam family "Bacterial small subunit ribosomal RNA", at positions 524 to 776 of the family's 1533-position model. The record is from RNAcentral.
UACGAAGGGGGCAAGCGUUGUUCGGAUUUACUGGGCGUAAAGGGCGCGUAGGCGGAAUUGUAAGUCAGAGGUGAAAGCCCUGGGCUCAACCCGGGAAUGGCCUUUGAGACUGCAAGUCUUGAGUGCGAGAGAGGGUGGCGGAAUACCCAGUGUAGUGGUGAAAUGCGUAGAUAUCGGGAGGAACACCAGUGGCGAAGGCGACUACCUGGCCUGUUCUUGACGCUGAGGCGCGAAAGCUAGGGGAGCAAACGGG